AUCCGUGCUGAGAUUUCGUCA
This 21-nucleotide microRNA is filed under the name Schistosoma mansoni. Its description in RNAcentral is "sma-miR-3492". The record is from miRBase by way of RNAcentral. Lineage: Eukaryota; Metazoa; Platyhelminthes; Trematoda; Strigeidida; Schistosomatidae.